Molecule: long non-coding RNA, 592 nt
Organism: Gigantopelta aegis
Lineage: Eukaryota; Metazoa; Mollusca; Gastropoda; Neomphalida; Peltospiridae
Exons: 3
Source: RefSeq, a predicted model, not a curated record
AUUUGCGUCUGUGUCGACAUGCUGAUACGAGUUCAUUCUUGGAGUUUAGUGUGCUGGUUUCAGUUGUUUCCUCUUGUGACGUUCGAUAUCACCAACGAUGGCGCGCAAGGCGAUUUUCUCGCUGCUAUUGGCCGCCCUGCCGAUUAUAACCUACUAAGCACAUUUGUGAACGAGUUUAAGCUACAGGGCCAACCCAAGUACGAGAUAGAAAGCUUCAAAUUGUCCUCUAUAAUAGGAGACACGGUUACGCCUAGGCAAUUUCUGGAGUACAACAAUUUUAUGCGAAGCGAUCAUGCCACGUUCUAGAUGAAUGGAAUUCCUGCCAUUUUCAUCACUGACACCGGACAACACCGCGUGUGCUAUGACGCUGCUUUGUUUAUGGCUGUUGCUGUUGCCAUUCUACUGGGAUAAAGUCAAGACACCCACCCCCUAAAAGCAAAACAACAACAACAAAAAACAAAAAAACAAAAACAAUGUCCAUAAUGUUUCCAGACUGAAGACGCCAGUGAUGUUUUCUAACAAUAUGGGUUGAUUUUUGGAAAGAGUAGUCAGCUAGAUAAUAAAAGCUGUAAUAUUUGUGACGGAAACGUUA